GGAAUACUCCACACUUUCCUCCUCCUUCUCCAUGCCUCUCUCUCCUUUUGUUCCUGUGUCGGUGUUGUCAGUCCUGGCCAGGCUGUGCAGGUGACGAUAACACCGCAUAGCUAGCUGACAUUGUGGGGAGCCCUGAUUCCGUCCCUGGCGUGUGUGCCAAUGCUUAAUCUUCUCUGCUGAAAUUAAUGACCGUCUUUUAAGUGAUUCAAUUGAAUUGAAUAGGAUAGGCAAUAGAUAGACUUUUAAUUGAGUGGGUAUUUCUGAUGUUGUUGCUGUAUUUCUCUAUCCCUUGCUUAUAGCUCUGUUCUUUGUUAUUUUAAUGGUUCUUAUCAGCCACCUCUCUCCACUCCUGUCAUAGUUUCCUAAAUGAGUUCAGCAAGUGCUCCUGUCCACACUUGAGUAAUACAAAUAUCUAUAAUCAUCUCAUUCACAGUUUAAAUAAUCAAUUUGAUUAACUCCCAUUCAUUUCAUCUCAUCCAAACCCUGAAAAAAUAAAUACAUCGGAGAAAAAAAAAAAGUUCUUUGCUACAUUUCAUUGUCAUGAUCAGAAAUAGUCUUCCCAGGGGGAGGAAUGAGAUUGGCCCUCCAGCCCUUUAUAAAGCCAUGACACAUUUAUUCUUUCUUUUUUCAUCUGCACCUCUUUCCUGGUGGGAUAUGAUUGGUAUGCGGAGAUGAACGCAGAGCCAAAGUGAUUUGCUAGCAGGGGUUCAAUAAGGCCUCAUUUUCAGCGAGUGCUUUAGCUGGGAUUAGCUUCUUGUGUAUUUUUCAGAUUCAAAACAUCUGCUGUUUGCUCUUGCAAAUGAACAGAACAGAACCUCCCAUUCUGCCCCCCCCCCCCCAAUCAGCAGGCUGGUGCAUGGGCUCAGAUUGGGGCCAUCGGCUGGGGAGGGGUUAGGAAGGGAGGGGGAUCCUUGGGAAAGGGGGGGGGGCAAUGUUGGCAUUAAAUAUGCUAUAAAUUGAAUCCUGUUACAGUGGAUACAGACAUAACGGGAAGCGACUGAUCACCGUGAAGCUAAUGUUGUCUCUACCCCCCCCCCCCCCCCCAAAAAAAAACCCGAUGACGCAUCAUGCGGCAACCAGUAGCCGGCACAAAUAAUCUCCCUGUCCCCUAAUCUUCACACUCUACAAACCAAAAAUGACAUUGCUUUGGAUGACAAAAAAAAGGGCGGUGAUUGUUUUCCUAUUUCCUGCCCUCUGCCGCUCGCUGUUGCUUCUUCCUUGCCAUGGCACCUCAAGCCUCUCUGAGAUGGUAGCUGGUGAUUAUGACGACUGUUCUCUUAUCUAGGCCAGUGCAUGAGAGGGGGAGAACCAGCCUCCUUUGAAGUUACAGCAUAAGCCUCCACUGUAAAGCGUCUGGCAGGGGGCGGUAGGGUGGGAAGGAGGAGAGGAAGGAGUGUGUGUGUGUGUGUGUGUGUGUGUGUGUGUGUGUGUGUGUGUGUGUGUGUGUACGUGUGAUGUUAGCGAUCUCUGCUCACAUCUGCACCCCAAGUCAGAGCUCCGGGGAACCAGAGGAUAGGCUCUCAUCUUCUCCCUCACCCCCUGCCGCAGCGCCUCCUUCUCGGGGAGAGUAAAGGAGCGGGGAUGAGCGGGGUUAAGCCCGAAGAAACAGCUUCUGGGAGACAAAGAGCUGAUUGGCUAUUGGACUUUAUACGAGUGCGGAGCCGGAUCGGAGAUGGGGGGAGAGGGAAAUCAAUUUUUACCCUCCGGGGGGGAAAGGUGGACAAUUAACAGGAUUGAUGCAGCAGCAUUACCCAGCUGUGGCUGUCGCCCCCACCCACAGUAGUUAGAGAGGCGAGAGAGAGAGAGGGAGAGAGAGAGGGGGAGAUGGAGAGAGAGUUUAAAAGAGAGUGAGAAGAGAGAGAUGAAGAGAGUUGAAAAGAGACUGAGAAGAAGGAGAGAGAGUUGAAGAUGGAGAGAGGGAGAGAGAUUGACCCAGUUAGUGGUUAUGUAUAGUCCUAUAAGGAAGACCCUUAUUGCGUUGACGUUGAUAAUGAGCUCAGACCACCACAUCCUCGAUGCUCAUACCCCAUUGGUGAUGUUCCCGUAGAGUGUGCGGAUGCUCAGAUUCAUCUACACAGAGGAGAUCUGCUUGUGUGUGCCGAACUUGAGGGUAUAAACGUUUGAAUACUUUUGAUCAAAAUACUUUUGUCAAUCUCUGGCCUAAACAUCAACCUGCUUUUUCUGCCUUUGAGCACAACCAAUAGGAACCUUGAUUUAGCUUUGAGCGACUGUCACAAGCUAUUUGUCCCAGUGGGACAGGCCUUCUAUCCAGGUAACCAGGGAGAAAAUGACUGAACAGCCAUAUUUGUGAAGAGACUUGAUUCAUAUGGGAACAUUAAUGCUGUUAAAGAGGAUAACUGUCACCACAUUAGCGGUAUAUAUGUCACUGUGCAUGCCGUGCAGAGCAAAACAUGGGAAUCAGUUUUUCUCGGCUUCUCUCAAAUGCUUUUGGAGGCGUUUCUUCAGGAUGGAUGGCAGGUUUGUGGCAUGACUUCCUGAAACCAUGAAGUGAAUAGUCCCGCCCUCCCCUCCAGGCCCAGCACUGGGGUCAAAACACCAUUGGCUGACACACACACACAACAGCUUGACUGGCCUAUGUGACAAUGCAAUCUUCUGAGUGAGUUCUGAUUGGCUGUGGAGACAUGUCAGGAGGUGGAAGUGAUUGUGGUGGUGUACAAGGAAAGUGUGGGUGAAUGAAAUGGUGGAGGACAAGUAAACAUCUACAACUUCAUCAUGUUUACAGGAAAUCAAACACCUUUCCACCUAUGAGUACUGAACCACCAGAAAACAAGUGGUCUUCUUACAUAAGGUCUCACUAGUGAUCGCUGCUUCUUCUCUGCAUUCAAAAUAACCCCUGAAAAGUCAUGCAUAUCUAGAUGUUACAUCACCACCACGUAAAGACUUAAGCAGACACAGUUAGCUAAAGCCAUUGACAGUUGCUAGUUAACUUACCUCAGUUGUACCGUAAGGACUGUUCAUGCACACCAAAGUGUUUUACCAAUGUGUUGUAUUUCUCUGCAACACCUCAUGUAAUAAACAGGCCAACAGUUACAUGGACCCUAGGUGUUAAGACUUACAGUACCUCCCUGAUAAGUAUAUGAUAGAUUUAUUUUUCCCCAUCACCAUAUACAAAUAUCAACAAAAUCUGUACAAAUUCGGCAAUCACAGACCUGAGGAUGGGAUGUGUCCAGUACCUCCCCGGAUGGCAGCUAACUCGAGAACGGGUCUGGCCCAGAACUCGCUGAGACCCGGGCCAGAUCCGUUCCAGGGAUCGCUGGCAUCCAGGCUCUUUCAAGUAGGUGACAUAAACAGUGACACCACCAUUGCGAUUUUAUUACUGGCAUCUAAAUGUUGCACUAACUUUACAUCGUACCAUUCAUUUUUUAACAGUUUUCAAAAAAAUGGAAUUCAUAGCAAAUAAAAAAUAGUCACAUGCAAUGUUUCAAAAUGCGUCAUCAUUACAUUAUUUUCAAUUUCACAUAAAAAGAGGAAUUAAAAUCACUUCAUAUUUAAUCGUAAUUAAAGUUCUUUUUCUUUUCAUACACCUACACAUUCUUGCAACAGCGUUGGUCUCGUUUGGGUUGUAAACAUAUCCGCUUUAGCUCGCUCCUUUUAGUCGGAUGCAUAUCAUUCCUUCGAAGACUCGAUUGGCAAUCAAAGCGAAAGUGAAACUGUCUUUGGGCUCUUCGGGCGCUAAGUGGGAAAAACAUGGAUCGAUAGCUGCGAUAUGCAGAAGAAGGUAGAUAAAGAAUAAUACCCUGAGUAUUACUGCACUGUGGUUGUUUUUCACCUUUACGUCUCUCUUGUUAAAAUCUUUUUCUUUUUUUGUUCGCUAGGAUUACGUUUCAGAAAGGAACUAUUGUUCAGAGCAGUUCCUUCUGCUGAGUAGAAAAAAGGAUGAUUGGAGUGUUAUGGAGAAGCAGGUUGACUAGCAACCUGACUCCUUGCCAGGACAGCACCUAACUCUGGGUCGAAUCUAGCCCCCAAUCCGGGCCUAGUCCGGUCCAGAGUCAGCUGCGGUCCGAGCCACUUUUGAGAUAUGGAGACAGAGUUAAUGUGGUUCUGAUCGAGUAGUAUGUUAUCGAUGGAGAACAUCACAUGGCGUGAAGAGUGCAGUGGCAAUGACUCGACGGGGGUAAGGUAGUGGUGGAGAGUGAUUGACAGGAGAAAAGGAGAUUUUUUUUUUGAGGGGUAGAGGGAAGGGGGGUUGAAGGAGGUUAUGGACAGUCAGAGCUGACUCAGGCCACACGAUGGGAGUCCCAGCUAUAACAGCCGCAGGUUCCAUUGGGAAAAUGGAGACCCAACAGGUUUUAGCUUUUAGGUGGACACUGGACAGAAUACCCGCCCACCCGCGCUCUUUGCAGUGGUUCCAUAUGCACUCACACACACACUCACUCACUCACACACACACUUACUCAGACACACACACACACACACAUACACCCAGGCACACGUGCACACACAGACACACACACACACACACACACACACACACACACACACACACACACACCCAUGCACUCACACAGAAUGGCCCCCUUCCCAAGAGCACAUGGUUUCAGGCACAAACUUGCAAUGUGUUACUUGGAUGAGACUGAGUGCAGUGAGGAGGUGAGGAAAAAGACAACAGAAGACAGGUGAUGCUAAAAUGAACAUUUAUAAUGACUGUUGUUGCGGUCGGAAAAUAAUAAUCCUUAAAAAAAACUAUUUCAUAUAUAUUAGCACUAAAUUGCCGACUUCACUGGUAAUCCACAAGUCAAGAAACACAACUCACUAAUUUUUUUCUUUUUUUUUUUACAAACACAACGCUACAAUAACAUUAAAUAUUCAAUACUCUUUAAGUCAGUUAAUGAAGGGUGUUAAAAAAACCACUAAAAUACUAAAAAAAAAAAAAACAAUAAUUCAUCUUUCCAGUCAUUCCCUUUCCUAGUUGUUGUUGUCAUUUAUUAAUAGUGUAUAGUAGUAGGUUGUAAAUAAAUAGCUUGAGGUGUUUGCUGGAGAGAGGGCCGGCAGCAUAAAAAGCUGCAUGUGGAGCUAUGAGCACUGUGGCAAUGUGGACGCGUUUCUACCAGCUAUCGUCUCACCGAAGCGUUUCACUCUAUGGCAGAAUCAGUGAAUGGAUUCUAGAAGCCCCAAACAAUUCCAUAUUCCAAAUCCAGUUCCGUUAUGGUUUAACAACAUGCCAGCCCAGAUAGCCGAUGAUUCUAGAACAGCGCCGGAUGUGGGCCAUGUCUGGGCCGGAUCCGAACUAGUCAGCCGAUGCUAUCUGGAAGCUUUGACUGGCUAUCUACUACCCCUUUAUCUGGAUAGCAGAGGCUUUAUUGCGCAAGGAGUGUGCGUCCGUCACUUCCUCCAAAGGUUGUUUAGAGGGCUCUGGAUGACUGCGGUCAGACUAGCGCUUCCUCUACUACGUGAUGGCGGCGGUCUUGUUCUACCAUGCAUCGUCAGGCACAGAAGCGACAGACCCAGCUCUGAGGCUCGAGGAAAGGUUAGCAGUCACAAUGGAUUGGAGUGGAUGGAGACUGCUGCUGCUGGUGUGUGUGUGUGUGUGUGUGUGUGUGUGUUUUCGUUCUCUUCUUUUUGGCGUUGCACAUGCCCGUGACAGCAAAAGCAGUUCAUCCCCCCCCCCCCCCCACCAUCCCUCCCCCCAAAUCAGCCACAUGGUGUUUUGUGAUGUGAUGCCUGUGGAUGCUGGGUGGGGAAGUGACGUGGUAAUGUCUGAUAUGAUCCCAGUGCAGUCGUCCGCCUCAUUCAGGCAAUGAGCAGGUGGAAUCAGGUGAGAAAGCUCUGUCUGUCUGUCUGUCUGGCUGCUGGCUGCUGGCUCUCUUUGCUAGUUCCACAAAGCACAUUUUUAUGCUACCGGCCCCAUUCUGUUAGUCACACUUUUCUCCUUACAGUUCAACAAAACCUGACAAAAAUAUUUACAAUGAGAGAAAAAUGAAGUUAUGGAGAAACAGUUUAUGCAAUCUGUCUGUGCACUUUAGUAUUUUUUUUCCUUAAACUUUUUUUUAAUUUUUUUUUUUAAUUCUUUAUCUUUGAUAAUGACCCAAUGAUGAGGAACAACAAAAACAAAAAAAAGAAAGCAAGAAAGAAAGAAAGAAAUCCAAUCUUAUCAACUAGAAUUGCACAGUCUCACAGAGGUUUGGUGAUGGAAUGGAGAUUUUUGAGUCCAAACAGCUGAAUGAACAUAGAAGGGGAGGAAGAAGGCCAUUAUAAAGUUCAUGGAGGGGUGAGAGUUCAGAGUUCAGAAGACAGGAGAUGACUGCACGGCGGACGGUUACACUCCUCACACCUUUUUUUUUUUUUUUUUUUUUUUUAUUUUGAGUGUGUGUUUAAUGGCAAAGAAACAAGAAAAUAAAUAGUCAUUGGAUAGAUGGAUUUUGUUUUGAGUGUGUAUCUUUCCCAUCAAAAUCAAAUGAAGAGACUUAGAGGUGGGGGGGUGGUGAGGGGGGGCAGGGGGGGUGUUGAGUGACAGGUGCCCCCAGCAGUAUGGCACACAAUCAAUGAUGUCCUGGAGGCUGAAGAGAUGGCAGAGGAUUAGGAAAAAAGCAGUUUAUGAGAGGUAGCCAGCCUUUGCUUGUUUGUUUGUUUGCUUGUUUGCUCUUUUUUCACUAUUACAACCGUGGCUACGGUUAAUCCAGUGGGGAGGGGGGGGGGGGUGGAUUUCUUUUGUUUGUUUUUUUUUUUUUUGGGGGGGGGGGGGAUGCAGAGGCGUCAUGACUGACAUCAUGUUAUGGAGGGACAUGCUGGCUUCAUGAGGCGGUCCAAUGCGGAUGUCCAACAUACAAGAAAACUCAAAAAACUUUUGGAAUGGUUCUGUUUGUUUCGUUUGGCACUCAGGAGAGGGUGUGGGGAAGAGAGAGGCAGGGCAGAAGUGUUUGGGGAAGGGGGUGGGAGUGGGGGGUGGGGACAGGGUAGUGGUUGGAAAAGAGGGGUAGAAGGGGCAGUGAAAAGUGCAAAAAGGGGAGCAAAGUGUGCGGAGGGGAGGAGGAGUAAACAGGAUAUAUAUGAAUGGCAUUUUGUUAUAGUUGGUCUAGGUUAGAGAGAGAGAGAGCGUCAUACAAAGCAAAAAACAGGAGAACAAGAACAGGAACAACAACAACAACAACAACAGUAACAAAACAAAGAAUAAGAGAGCGAGAGAACUGAACAGUGAUAUGACGUAUGCAGUCUAACAUUGCUGGUGCUUCGAUGGGUGCAAGCUGAAGAGUGACCCUUGACCCCCUUCAGACAGAGGAGGAGAGGGUUGGAGAAGAGCAGGGGUGUGUGGCGUGGCGUGGCGUGGGGUGGUGUGGUGGUGGUGGUGGUGGUGGGGAGGGG
This is a long non-coding RNA of Clupea harengus (Atlantic herring), 7320 nucleotides long. Lineage: Eukaryota; Metazoa; Chordata; Actinopteri; Clupeiformes; Clupeidae. The record is from Ensembl.